This 1027-nucleotide long non-coding RNA is filed under the name Macaca mulatta (Rhesus monkey). Its description in RNAcentral is "lncRNA (ENSMMUG00000058215.1)". The record is from RNAcentral. Lineage: Eukaryota; Metazoa; Chordata; Mammalia; Primates; Cercopithecidae.
AUGAAAAGAUGUGAUUCGGCGAUUUUGAGUUGUCGGGUAUUUUUGUGUCCUAGAAGUGUGAGAGAAGGGGCUACGUUCUGCGUCUUCCGGAGGCGCAAAGCAAGGGAGUCUCCUGGUGUCAUCUCGGGCCAUUGCGGCGGCGCUCAGUCGAUCAUUAGCUUCCAGUCCUUUAAAACGAGGGUUUGGACCCGGUGCCUUCUGAAGCCGGUGCUUCACUGAACUCCCGAGGGCGAUCCAAACUGCCUAAGCAUCCCGAGUCGAGCACCCGCGCCUGCGUUCCUGAGUCAUCCAGCGCCCUGCAGCGUUUUUCAUGCACAUGGUCCGAAUAUAUCAGACUGCAGAGAGAGGCUGUAUUGUAACUGGCCAGCUUAUAAUACUCUAAAUAAUAAUAUAAAAGGUAGUUUUAUAUUUAACAAAUAUUGCUCACUGACAGUGUGCCCGGAACCAAAGCCUAUUGUUUCAUUGAAUGUACACACCCUUGGGACUGGAAUGAGUAGAAAACAUUGUUAUUCCUGUUUUACAGAUGGAGAAACUGAGACUCUUGACUAUCAGUAAGUGGCUAAGUCAGAAUUUAAAUCAGGUUUUGUCUGAUAUCAAAUCCAGUUGGAUUUUCUACUCUAAUCGGUUUUUCUCAUUAAACUUCAGACUUAACGUUUCCCAUCAUAGACCUUACCCAUUUUUAAUUGCUUAUUCAUUGGAAAGGGAGCUUCGUUCGGAUUUAAGGUAAUCAAAGAAAAAAUUCAGUCAGCCAAAUCUAAUGACUUUUUUUCUGUUCCACGCAUUUGAAAACAAAUCACACCAAGGCCUGAGGAUCUUAAACCUCGUUGUGUAGAAAGAAGGAAACACACUAUUUUAUUAUAAUCAACAAACUAAACCGUGUGUAGAGAGAGACAGCCAGGUGAUGGAAACUCAUUAGGUUCAGAAACCAGAUUGUGCACGCGGUUCUGAGAGACAGCCAAGCGACCUCACGCAAGACCCUCUUUGGGGCUUAGUUUUCUUACCUAAAAAACCAGGGUUGAAGAUCACC